GUGCAGAUGAAAAAUGGCAUUGCUGUUCUUAUUUGAUUACAGUAAAACAAGUAACAUUACUGUUAUUGAGUUAUUUAGGGUACUUAUCCACUCCAAAUACAUUUUUAUCACUUUCCAGUAACUCAUAAGACUCUUGAUAGAAUAUUGAUGAGGUAUAGUGUAUUUUGAAUGAGUUAGGAUAGAAUUUAGCUUUGGCCGGGCCAUCCAAUCCCAGCCCACUACACUGUCCUUCCUCCCUCUCUUUUCUCCCUUCACACCUGGAGUAUGUGUUGUUCUACUGAGAACAGAAGUGGUUCCCUCCAAUAUGAUCUGACUCUUAAUAACGUUAUUUAGCUGACAUGUCCCAUGUCCAUGCUACAUGAUUCAGACCCCAUGAUGCUGAAAUGUCAGUGUGACCUUAUUUCCCUCCCCCACCUCCCUUUUGAAUUACCAAUGUAGUGUAGUGCAGCGCAGCACGUGUGCUCGUUUCUGUGUGUGUGAGAGAGAGAGAGAGACAGAUUACCCUGUACUUUUAAUUCCCCGUCAUAAUCCAUGGAUCUAUUAACCAUGGGCCUACAGUAUUAACCUCUGGUGGGUUUGGUGUGGUAAUCCACAGUUUGUGUUGAUUCAACCAGUGUUUGCCUAGUGGGUAGUUUGUGUUGGGAUGGUCACAGGUAGAUCUGUAACAAUCGCAGAUAGAGAGACAGAGCUGGAAAAGGAAUCAGCCAUGACUAACCAGUGACCAGCCAGUCCUGGAGCCUUACAUGCUGACCAGAGCGAACAUGUUGUGUGCGCAAGGGUUGCAAAAUAAAUGUACAUAUACACAUUAUUCAGUCAUUGCACUCACACUGCUCGUGGGCAUCAGCGAGCGACUGCAUGGCCAGGCGCUAAAAUAGAAAUCGGUUCUAUUUGGGACGCUCAACAUGCUGCCAGUCCGGCCUCUCCCAUCUCCUCAUAGGUUUUUAAGAGCAUAUACCCACGUGCCAUCUCCUCAUAGGUUUUUAGAAGCAUAUACCCACAUGCCAUCUCCUCAUAGGUUUUUAAGAGCAUAUACCCACGUGCCAUCUCCUCAUAGGUUUUUAGAAGCAUAUACCCACGUGCCAUCUCCUCAUAGGUUUUUAGAAGCAUAUACCCACGUGCCAUCUCCUCAUAGGUUUUUAGAAGCAUAUACCCACGUGCCAUCUCCUCAUAGGUUUUUAGAAGCAUAUACCCACGUGCCAUCUCCUCAUAGGUUUUUAGAAGCAUAUACCCACGUGCCAUCUCCUCAUAGGUUUUUAAGAGCAUAUACCCACAUGGGUGAUUGAAAGAUUAAUUUAGGUCCACACUCCGGUAGGUUGUAGUAAUGCUGUAAAGUUGGUUGCCAACUGCCAUAUUAAGUCAAAAAUAACAAGAAGAAGCCUGAGGAAGGAGGAGAGAUGACAAGAAAGGAAUUCGGUUUACAGUUUUAUCUGUGGAUUAAUUGUGGGUGUAGAGGACCUUGUGCAUUUCAGGUCAAAUAAGAACCCAAUGUUUGUAUCCCAGGACAAAUUAGCUGGCAACAGCAAGCUAGCUAGCUAAAUUGUCAUAAAUGUUUAAUGAUUUUCG
This 1563-nucleotide long non-coding RNA is filed under the name Salmo salar (Atlantic salmon). Its description in RNAcentral is "lncRNA (ENSSSAG00000089678.1)". The record is from RNAcentral. Lineage: Eukaryota; Metazoa; Chordata; Actinopteri; Salmoniformes; Salmonidae.